UUAAGCGACUAAGCGUACACGGUGGAUGCCCUGGCAGUCAGAGGCGAUGAAGGACGUGCUAAUCUGCGAAAAGCGUCGGUAAGGUGAUAUGAACCGUUAUAGCCGGCGAUGUCCGAAUGGGGAAACCCAGUGCAAUUCGUUGCACUAUCGUUUGAUGAAUACAUAGUCAAACGAGGCGAACCGGGGGAACUGAAACAUCUAAGUACCCCGAGGAAAAGAAAUCAACCGAGAUUCCCCCAGUAGCGGCGAGCGAACGGGGAGCAGCCCGGAGUCUGAAUCAGCUUGUGUGUUAGUGGAAGCGUCUGGAAAGUCGCAGGGUACAGGGUGAUACUCCCGUACACUAAAACACACAGGUUGUGAACUCGAAGAGUAGGGCGGGACACGUGGUAUCCUGUCUGAAUAUGGGGGGACCAUCCUCCAAGGCUAAAUACUCCUGACUGACCGAUAGUGAACCAGUACCGUGAGGGAAAGGCGAAAAGAACCCCGGCGAGGGGAGUGAAAAAGAACCUGAAACCGUGUACGUACAAGCAGUAGGAGCCCACUUGUUGGGUGACUGCGUACCUUUUGUAUAAUGGGUCAGCGACUUAUAUUCUGUAGCAAGGUUAACCGUAUGGGGGAGCCGCAGGGAAACCGAGUCUUAACUGGGCGUUAAGUUGCAGGGUAUAGACCCGAAACCCGGUGAUCUAGCCAUGGGCAGGUUGAAGGUUGGGUAACACUAACUGGAGGACCGAACCGACUAAUGUUGAAAAAUUAGCGGAUGACUUGUGGCUGGGGGUGAAAGGCCAAUCAAACCGGGAGAUAGCUGGUUCUCCCCGAAAGCUAUUUAGGUAGCGCCUCGUGAACUCAUCUUCGGGGGUAGAGCACUGUUUCGGCUAGGGGGUCAUCCCGACUUACCAACCCGAUGCAAACUACGAAUACCGAAGAAUGUUAUCACGGGAGACACACGGCGGGUGCUAACGUCCGUCGUGAAGAGGGAAACAACCCAGACCGCCAGCUAAGGUCCCAAAGUCAUGGUUAAGUGGGAAACGAUGUGGGAAGGCCCAGACAGCCAGGAUGUUGGCUUAGAAGCAGCCAUCAUUUAAAGAAAGCGUAAUAGCUCACUGGUCGAGUCGGCCUGCGCGGAAGAUGUAACGGGGCUAAACCAUGCACCGAAGCUGCGGCAGCGACGCUUAUGCGUUGUUGGGUAGGGGAGCGUUCUGUAAGCCGUUGAAGGUGGCCUGUGAGGGUUGCUGGAGGUAUCAGAAGUGCGAAUGCUGACAUAAGUAACGAUAAUGCGGGUGAAAAACCCGCACGCCGGAAGACCAAGGGUUCCUGUCCAACGUUAAUCGGGGCAGGGUGAGUCGACCCCUAAGGCGAGGCCGAAAGGCGUAGUCGAUGGGAAACAGGUUAAUAUUCCUGUACUCGGUGUUACUGCGAAGGGGGGACGGAGAAGGCUAUGUUGGCCGGGCGACGGUUGUCCCGGUUUAAGCAUGUAGGCGGAUGUUCCAGGUAAAUCCGGAACGUUAUUAACGCUGAGGUGUGAUGACGAGGCACUACGGUGCUGAAGUGACAAAUGCCCUGCUUCCAGGAAAAGCCUCUAAGCAUCAGGUAACAUCAAAUCGUACCCCAAACCGACACAGGUGGUCAGGUAGAGAAUACCAAGGCGCUUGAGAGAACUCGGGUGAAGGAACUAGGCAAAAUGGUGCCGUAACUUCGGGAGAAGGCACGCUGAUGGUAGGUGAAGUGACUUGCUCAUGGAGCUGAAAUCAGUCGAAGAUACCAGCUGGCUGCAACUGUUUAUUAAAAACACAGCACUGUGCAAACACGAAAGUGGACGUAUACGGUGUGACGCCUGCCCGGUGCCGGAAGGUUAAUUGAUGGGGUUAUCCGUAAGGAGAAGCUCUUGAUCGAAGCCCCGGUAAACGGCGGCCGUAACUAUAACGGUCCUAAGGUAGCGAAAUUCCUUGUCGGGUAAGUUCCGACCUGCACGAAUGGCGUAAUGAUGGCCAGGCUGUCUCCACCCGAGACUCAGUGAAAUUGAACUCGCUGUGAAGAUGCAGUGUACCCGCGGCAAGACGGAAAGACCCCGUGAACCUUUACUAUAGCUUGACACUGAACACUGGUCCUUGAUGUGUAGGAUAGGUGGGAGGCUUUGAAGUGUGGACGCCAGUCUGCAUGGAGCCAUCCUUGAAAUACCACCCUUUAAUGGCUGGUGUUCUAACGUGGGCCCGUAAUCGGGGUUGCGGACAGUGUCUGGUGGGUAGUUUGACUGGGGCGGUCUCCUCCUAAAGAGUAACGGAGGAGCACGAAGGUCAGCUAAUCCUGGUCGGACAUCAGGAGGUUAGUGCAAUGGCAUAAGCUGGCUUGACUGCGAGCGUGACGGCGCGAGCAGGUGCGAAAGCAGGUCAUAGUGAUCCGGUGGUUCUGAAUGGAAGGGCCAUCGCUCAACGGAUAAAAGGUACUCCGGGGAUAACAGGCUGAUACCGCCCAAGAGUUCAUAUCGACGGCGGUGUUUGGCACCUCGAUGUCGGCUCAUCACAUCCUGGGGCUGAAGUAGGUCCCAAGGGUAUGGCUGUUCGCCAUUUAAAGUGGUACGCGAGCUGGGUUUAGAACGUCGUGAGACAGUUCGGUCCCUAUCUGCCGUGGGCGCUGGAGAAUUGAGGGGGGCUGCUCCUAGUACGAGAGGACCGGAGUGGACGCAUCACUGGUGUUCGGGUUGUCAUGCCAAUGGCAUUGCCCGGUAGCUAAAUGCGGAAGAGAUAAGUGCUGAAAGCAUCUAAGCACGAAACUUGCCCCGAGAUGAGUUCUCCCUGACUCCUUGAGAGUCCUGAAGGAACGUUGAAGACGACGACGUUGAUAGGCCGGGUGUGUAAGCGCAGCGAUGCGUUGAGCUAACCGGUACUAAUGAACCGUGAGGCUUAACCUU
RNAcentral lists this ribosomal RNA (2905 nucleotides) under Klebsiella michiganensis. Its description in RNAcentral is "bacterial LSU rRNA". It matches the Rfam family "Bacterial large subunit ribosomal RNA". Lineage: Bacteria; Pseudomonadati; Pseudomonadota; Gammaproteobacteria; Enterobacterales; Enterobacteriaceae. The record is from RNAcentral.